UACGAAGGCCCCGAGCGUUAUCCGGAUUUAUUGGGCGUAAAGCGUUAAUAGGCGGUUCUGUAAGUAUUUGGUUAAAUCUCAUGGCUCAACCAUGAGGCUGCCGGAUAAACUGCAGGACUUGAGGUCGGAAGAGGCAAGCGGAACUACCGGUGUAGUGGUAAAAUGCGUUAAUAUCGGUAGGAACACCAAAGGCGAAGGCAGCUUGCUGGUACGAACCUGACGCUAAAUAACGAAAGCGUGGGGAGCGAAUGGGAUUAGAUACCCCAGUAGUCCACGCCGUAAACGAUGGAUGCUAGGGAUUGGGAGUUUCGACCCUCUCAGUCUCGUUCAAGCUAACGCGUUAAGCAUCCCGCCUGGGAAGUACGGCCGCAAGGCUAAAACUCAAAGGAAUUGACGGGAGCCCGCACAAGCGGUGGAGCAUGUGGUUUAAUUCGACGAUAAACGAGAAACCUUACCAGGUCUAGACAUUCAGCUGCACGCCCCUGGAAACAGGGGAAGCCUUCGAGGGUGCUGAACAGGUGCUGCAUGGCUGUCGUCAGCUCGUGGCGUGAGCUGUUGGGUUAAGUCCUCUAACGAGCGCAACCCCUGUCGAGUGUUAAAAUAUUCGCUCGAGACUGCCGGCGAUAAGCCGGAGGAAGGAAGGGAUGACGUCAAGUCAGCAUGGUCCUCUGACGACCUGGGCCACACACGUGCUACAAUGGGGUGCAACAAUGGGUCGCCAAAGCGUAAGCUGGAGCCAAUCCCACCAAACCACCCCCAAGUUCGGAUUGAAGGCUGCAACUCGCCUUCAUGAAGCUGGAAUCGCUAGUAAAUGCGCAUCAGCUAUGGCGCAUUGAAUACGUUCUCGGGCUU
RNAcentral lists this ribosomal RNA (852 nucleotides) under uncultured bacterium. Its description in RNAcentral is "SSU rRNA". It matches the Rfam family "Bacterial small subunit ribosomal RNA", at positions 524 to 1381 of the family's 1533-position model. The record is from RNAcentral.